Molecule: ribosomal RNA, 253 nt
Filed under: uncultured bacterium
Lineage: Bacteria
Description: partial 16S ribosomal RNA
Rfam family: Bacterial small subunit ribosomal RNA
Source: RNAcentral
UACGGAGGGUGCGAGCGUUGUUCGGAAUUACUGGGCGUAAAGCGCGUGUAGGUGGCCUCUUAUGUCAGGUGUGAAAGCCCUGGGCCUAACCGCGGAAGUGCGCUUGAUACUGGGAAGCUGGAGUACCGGAGAGGAGGGUGGAAUUCCUGGUGUAGCGGUGAAAUGCGUAGAUAUCAGGAGGAACACCGGUGGCGAAGGCGGCCCUCUGGACGGAUACUGACGCUGAGACGCGACAGCGUGGGGAGCAAACAGG